RNAcentral lists this ribosomal RNA (236 nucleotides) under uncultured bacterium. RNAcentral's name for it is "partial 16S ribosomal RNA". It matches the Rfam family "Bacterial small subunit ribosomal RNA", at positions 977 to 1209 of the family's 1533-position model. The record is from RNAcentral.
UGGGCUAGACAACAUCAGACAGUCCUAGAGAUAGGAUCUUCCCUUCGGGGACUGGUGGUUCAGGUGCUGCAUGGCUGUCGUCAGCUCGUGUCGUGAGAUGUUGGGUUAAGUCCCGCAACGAGCGCAACCCUUGCCUUUAGUUGCCAUCAGGUAAAGCUGGGCACUCUAAAGGGACUGCCGGCGUUAAGCAGGAGGAAGGUGGGGAUGACGUCAAGUCCUCAUGGCCCUUAUGUCCG